RNAcentral lists this long non-coding RNA (1761 nucleotides) under Mus musculus (house mouse). RNAcentral's name for it is "cDNA sequence BC051408". The record is from RNAcentral. Lineage: Eukaryota; Metazoa; Chordata; Mammalia; Rodentia; Muridae.
AGCAGCAACCAAGGCAGCUGUGCAAGGAGCUUCAGGAAGUGGAACUGUGUAGAUAACCUUCUUAGGACCCUCCAAAGGAUUCACAAAGGAACUGCACACUUUGCUCUCAUAACACUUUUGUGUCAUCAGCACCAUGAUGUCAGGGAAGGAGCUGUUUACGUCCAGUAUCCAGAAUGAAAGCUUUCAACUGCAGCUUGCUGCAAAUUCCUCCCUAACAGUCAACCAGCAAUUAGAACUGUUUGUUACAGUGGCAGCCACAGAAGCAUUUCAAGCAACAAGGCAGAAGCCUGGGGAGACAGAACGAGAGCUGGUUCAUUUGAAGGGGACUAUCGCCACACAGCAGCUAAUCCUGGGAUAGCAGGCAAUUUGGGGAGCAUGGCUGUUUGCAACUUUGGAGAAAGACCUGAUCUUGAUUUUGCUGGGAGGAAAGAAACUGGGAAGCCCUGUUUGGGGUGUUUAGAAAGAGAGUAUUCACAUUCUAACUCAAUAUCUGAAUAUUCUAACCUGAUAUGAAAUACUAAGGAAUAAAUUGGGAACUUUACUUGUUAAUGUUGUAUUUGAGACAGUAUUGCAGGGCUUAGAAUAUAUCUCACAAUAAGAAUCUUGCAAUAGUGUUGUUUACAUAACAGAAGGAGCAUAUUUAAAAUAAUAUCUCUGACAUCUUUGUCUGUAAUGGCGUCUUUUGAUAUUUGACAAAUUAUAUUUGAAUUUAAUUAAUAUCUUAGUCAGAAAUGUUAUGUUUGGUGUGACACUUUUCUCCCUAUUCUUUCUGUUUCUUGUGUGUUCUUUCCAUUCUUCUACUAUACACUUUUCAAAUUUAUAACUGGAUUCUGUUCUUGAUUUCAGCAAUUAAAAAGAAAAAUGUGGUACUUCUGACUUGUACCUCGUCUUUGGUAGCUAUACGUUCUUCUCAAAUACAGCAAGAAUUCCAUCAAAGGCAACUGAGAAGCUGUGAAAUACUGCAGGUUUUUGAUGUUCUCAAAGAGAAGUGUUUUUUUCUCCUUUGUUCCAAACCCAUUAUUAAGUUGAGAUUCAAAAUAAAUAGCCAACUGCAGAAAGGUCUUAGAUAUUACGUUGAGUAAGAAAUUUGCUAGAUAUUUUGUGUUCACAUAUUUGAAUAUAUUACAUUUUCUAUUCUCUAUUAAAGAGUCAGGUUACCAAGCAGAACUGUGAGCAGGCAUCACUCAGAGGGAGCUGACACAAGGCUGGGUGGUUUGCAUAGGUGGUUAGGCACAUUAUUGUAUAGCUUCCAGUACAUUCUCAGUAGCACAUACUUCAAAUGCAAAAAAAACAAAAAACAAAAACAAACAAACAAACAAAAAACAUUGGUAUUUUUCCUUUUUGUUUCACUAUGGUUGCCGCCCCCCCCCCCCUUAUUUUGCAAGUAUAGAGCCAGUCUGUAGCAAUUCUUUCCCAUGUCAGAGGUGAACCCAUGCUAGACUGGAGACAUAAAAGAUCAAUUUGUUGCAUCCUACUUCAACAUUAAAAACAGCUUAAAGUAUACUUGUUAGUCCAUGCACUUGCAGCUCUAAGGAAGUGUUCCAGCCCUUCAGUACUGAAAGUGUGGAUAUUGGUGAUAAACCAAGAUGUGUACCCUAAACCAAAACUAACCAAAAUGUUUAGGCUGAGAAAUAUAUAGCUCCAAGGAAGAAAGAUGAGGAGGAAGAACAAAAGAAAGAAAAGGAGAACACAAAAGACAACUUCGCCAUUCUAAACACCAGUCAGUUUGGGAAUUUACAAAAACAAACAAACAAACAAAAA